AAAAUAUUAAAAAUCAAAUUAAGAAACUAGGAAUUAUUUGGAGACUAAUGAAAUUGUCCCAUAUUUUUUGGAUUAAAAAUAAAGAAGUUGUGAAUGUUUGAAAUAAAAAGGAAUUAAAGAAAAUAAAAUCAGAAAUUAGAAAAUAUGGAAAAUCAGGAAGCGUUGGAUCACGUUCAUUAAUUGACGUGGCCAAUCUGAUGGUCCUGAAUCGC
Molecule: long non-coding RNA, 212 nt
Filed under: Lathyrus oleraceus (garden pea)
Lineage: Eukaryota; Viridiplantae; Streptophyta; Magnoliopsida; Fabales; Fabaceae
Description: Pisum sativum (pea) long non-coding RNA (PSAT_LNC005502)
Source: RNAcentral